AGACUGUGCUCCUUUGAAGAAGGUGUCGUCCAUAUGACGCUGAAGGUCCGUGAUGACUACCCCAGGGUGCACAGAAUACGUGGUCACCCCCGUACCUAAAGUAACACAGGAUCAUACAUGAUGUUUUGAAGAAUUAUAUAACGACAUUUCUACCACGUCGCUUGUAAUAAUUAUUAAACCAAACUCCGCCCUGAGACACAGGCAGCAACGACCUCUGAAACGUCGAUAAACGUCAAACCAGAAGACAGCCAUCCUCGAAUCAUACAAUUCUGUGUAUCGUAAUAUUUGUCAUUUGUCUUCAGUGACUGGAAAUAAACUUGACUUCUUUCAACAAAAUAAAUUAUAUGUAUUCACUGAAA
Zootermopsis nevadensis is the source of this 359-nucleotide non-coding RNA. Lineage: Eukaryota; Metazoa; Arthropoda; Insecta; Blattodea; Termopsidae. The record is from RefSeq and is a predicted model, not a curated record.